Molecule: long non-coding RNA, 746 nt
Filed under: Monodelphis domestica (gray short-tailed opossum)
Lineage: Eukaryota; Metazoa; Chordata; Mammalia; Didelphimorphia; Didelphidae
Description: lncRNA (ENSMODG00000039009.1)
Source: RNAcentral
UUUCACUUCAUUAUCACUCUCUUUUUGGAGGAUAAAGCCAUGAACUUCAAAACCUGUAUUUGAAGAGGGAACCAAGCUCAGAACAUUUCAUUUCUCAAUUGGCUGUACUACUUUAGGACUUCUCUGACCUUCCUUAGAUUCCUCCCUUUUCCCUUCUCCCACCCCAGCCCAUGAUGACUUCCAGAGUGUCUUUUUUACAUCAUUCCACAUCAUUUGAUAUGUUUAUAUCACACCAUUCAGAUUUUUGUUUCUGUUAAUGCUGUUAAAUGUCAUUACCUUUCAGGUAACUCCAUUUUCAAUCAGCAGACUUGUUUGAAUUCAACUCCAAGGAAAACUAUGCCCUCAGAUAAGGAAACUAAGACAAACAAGGUUAAGUGACUUGCCUAGGGUCACAGAGCUAGCAAGUAUCUGUGAUCAGAUUUGAACUCAAGAAGAUGACUUGAAGUCCAGAGCUUUAUCCAUUGUGCCACCUAGCUGCCCUGCUCAGAAUUGUAGAGUUACUUAAAAGUGACCAACUCCUUGGUCCCAGCAAUCCUUCCAAGCUACUUUGGAUGGAAAAUGACCUGGCCUCUUUGGAGACUUAACACCCAGGCCUUGUGAACAUGAGGAUGAUAAUUCACCCCAAGAAGCCUUUUUCACAUGUGAUAAGCUUGGCAAGCUGCCUUGGUCAUGACAGGCAUAACCUUGGAUGUAUAGAAGGACUAUGGCAGAGAUACAAAGGAAAACUCGUCUCCUCUCAUGAGUAG